This 76-nucleotide transfer RNA is filed under the name Citrobacter freundii. RNAcentral's name for it is "tRNA-Gly". It matches the Rfam family "tRNA". From Rfam's summary of the family: Transfer RNA (tRNA) molecules are approximately 80 nucleotides in length. Their secondary structure includes four short double-helical elements and three loops (D, anti-codon, and T loops). Lineage: Bacteria; Pseudomonadati; Pseudomonadota; Gammaproteobacteria; Enterobacterales; Enterobacteriaceae. The record is from RNAcentral.
GCGGGAAUAGCUCAGCUGGUAGAGCACGACCUUGCCAAGGUCGGGGGCGCGAGUUCGAGUCUCGUUUCCCGCUCCA